This 1576-nucleotide long non-coding RNA is filed under the name Cotesia glomerata. RNAcentral describes it as "uncharacterized LOC123274779". Lineage: Eukaryota; Metazoa; Arthropoda; Insecta; Hymenoptera; Braconidae. The record is from RNAcentral.
CAAAAUUUAUUUUUCAAAAAAAAUAAUUUUCUCUUUCUGCUACUCGAGAUUUUUGUUUAUGAAGUAAAUUAUCAGUCACUUGGUCAUUUUACGAAUUGACCUUAAUAUGUAAUGGGAGCGCGAUAAAAUUAAAACGCGCUAAAAAAAUUGAAAUCGAAAUUUUCUAAUAAAAAAUAUCUCAGUUAGCACAAAUAACAUUAAGUUUACGUCAAGUUAAUAGUAUAACUUUACGUAAACCCAGUGACAGAAUUGGACUUCAAGUUAACAGUAAAAGUUCAUAUUUAUAAGAGUUGACGUAAACUUUUCGUCAACUUGGCCUAAUAGCCACCUUAACCGUAAGUUUCCUAUAAAUUGAUGCCUAACUUAUUUACAAUCUACGGCCAGAAAAAUUAAGUUAUAAACUACAACAAAUAAAACUUAAUUAUUUUUGUUAAUAACAGUUAUUUUUAGUUUAAAAUUAGUUAUUAUAAAUUAUUAAUAAUAAAAAAAUAACAUUAAUGUAAUUGUUUUUUUUUUCCUUGCUGAGUUGCGCUCAGUUGGCCUUUGGGGAGUCCCGUACAGCCAAUGUUUGUGGUGUGGUUAGUGUAUGUGUAGUAGGCGAGCGUGUCCCGCGAAUAUUUUAAAUUAUGUGUUGUCGUUAUCAUCGUCGUCGUCGUCUAUUAUUAUGUGAGUCAGGUUGAUUAUUUUUCUGAUAUCUAUGGCAAAUUAAGUGAUGCAGUUGAGGAUUUCUACGUUUUCUGUGAAGACUAGGUUUCGGAUGUCGUAGGGUGUCUAUAUUUUUUGCUUUUUUACUACUUGGCAUAGUUUUUCCGAUUCUGUUUUUGUUAAGUUUCAAUUGAAAAAAAUAUGGUUUAAGUCUUGUGUUUCGUGACCGCAGUCGCAUGUAGGGUCGUUUUUAAUUUUUAUGCUAUGUAGGUACUCGUUGGUACAUAUGUAUCUAGAUCUCAUUCUAUUUAUUAAUGUUAUUGUAAUUGUUUUAAGAUUUUUGUUUUUAAACUAUGUUUUUUUGUUAUUGUUUAGUUGUGAAUUUUUGAAUUUUUGGUAUAUUGAUUCCGAUUUUUUAAAGUUUUCGUGUCUGAUAGAUUCAUCUUCUGUUUUGUGUUUUUUUUUUAUACCAUUCGGUUGUACAUUACGUAGUUAGGUUUUAACUCCAGUAGUUCGUCAGUUAUUUGGCGCGCUCAGUCUUGCGCGUUCUAUUGACCACUUAACACGUGUUUUAUUUUUUUUAUUAGUUAAUUAUCCACGGAAAUUAUUAUACUUCUGUUGUAUUGUAUAAUAAAGUUAAUUAUCUUCGACAACAAAUUAAAUCACAAAGAUGGCGGAAGAAUUAAGGGAAUUCCCUUAAGGAUUAAUCAUCGGACUGGGAAACCCUCUCCUGGACAUCUCAGCUGUUGUCGAUGAAGAUUUUCUUAAGAAGUACAAUCUAAAAUCAAAUGAUACAAUUCUCGCUGGCGGAGCAGUUCAGAAUACAACGAGAGUCGCUCAAGUAAUAAAGUAAUUAAGGUAGUUUUUGCAUGAUAGGCAUUUCAACAGAAAAUUAUGAAAUUUUUUUUAUUGAAAGAUAAAUAUAUUAAUA